RNAcentral lists this non-coding RNA (710 nucleotides) under Pongo abelii (Sumatran orangutan). The record is from RNAcentral. Lineage: Eukaryota; Metazoa; Chordata; Mammalia; Primates; Hominidae.
AGCCAGGGCUGCGGUGCGCCUGCACGUCACGGCUACUCAAACCCAAGCACGUCCCGAAAGCGGUAUUUUCUGCGUCUGGGAGGUUUUUGCAUCCUCAGUUCCCACCGCUGGGGCUGGCGGCGACCAACUAAGUCCCACUUUACCAUUAAUGAUGACAAUAACUAAAGCUGCCAGGAACAGCACAUCUUCUGACCUUUAUCAACACCAGAUUGUCUCAUUUUGCCUUCUGGAUCCCCAUGCUCUUUUAUACCAACAAACAAGAGGUAUAAGUGGGUAUCUCUACCCACUUCCUUGACUGAAGCCUGCUCUUUUAUGAAGACAUGGCAUCUUUUCCAACCAUGUCAAACAGAUGCAAUUUAUGUGUAUGCUGCUUCCACACCCUGAUUAAAUGGGUCAGUGGCAGAAUCAGUAUCCUUACUCUCCCCUUUGGUUUCAAAUAUUUAUUCCUCAUUUCACUUUCAUGCUCACCUUUCUAUAGAGAUCAAGGCAUCUGCCUUUGCAGCUUUACCUCUUCCUCCAGGUUAUAUUUUCCAUUCAUGGAAUCUUUCAGCUGCUGGCUCGCAGUUUUCCUGACUACCUGACUUCCAUUCCUCUUCUCAUGACUUCAGCUCCCAUGCAGAUGUCUUAUCCUGACACACUAACUUCUCCAUUCUAUUUCUGUGUGUGUGUGUGUGUGUGUGUUUUCCUACUAGUUCAACCGCAAUUCCCUA